AUCUGGCCUUAGGGUGGGGGAUAAGCUCGGGAAACUGAGUAUAAUACCCCAUAGUCCAGGUAUGCUGGAAUGCUUCCUGGAUUAAAGCUCCGGCGCCCUAGGAUGAGUCUGCGGCCUAUCAGGCUGUAGUGGGUGUAACGGCCCACUAAGCCUACGACGGGUACGGGUCUUGAGAGAGAUUGCCCGGAGAUGGAUUCUGAGACACGAAUCCAGGCCCUACGGGGCGCAGCAGGCGCGAAAACUUCGCAAUGUGGGCCAACCACGACGAGGGAAUUCCAAGUGUUAGUACUUUGUAUCAACUGUUUUCUUCUCUAAAAAACAAGGAGAGUAAGGGCUGGUAAGACAGGUGCCAGCCGCCGCGGUAAUACCUGCAGCUCAAGUGGUGGCCGCUAUUAUUGGGCCUAAAACGUCCGUAGCCGGUUUCAUAAAUGCCUGGGUAAAUCAUACGGCUUAACCGUAUGAAUUCCGGGUAGACUGUUUAACUUGAGACCGGGAGAGGCUAGAGGUACUCCUGGGGUAGAGGUGAAAUUCUGUAAUCCUAGGGGGACCACCAGUGGCGAAGGCGUCUAGCUAGAACGGGUCUGACGGUGAGGGACGAAGCCCUGGGGAGCAAACGGGAUUAGAUACCCCGGUAGUCCAGGGUGUAAACGCUGCUCGCUUGAUGUUAGUCGGGCUCCGAGCCCAACUAGUGUCGGAGAGAAGUUGUUAAGCGAGCUGCCUGGGAGUACGGUCGCAAGACUGAA
This 743-nucleotide ribosomal RNA is filed under the name uncultured archaeon. RNAcentral describes it as "bacterial SSU rRNA". It matches the Rfam family "Archaeal small subunit ribosomal RNA", at positions 107 to 853 of the family's 1478-position model. The record is from RNAcentral.